Molecule: ribosomal RNA, 115 nt
Organism: Achromatium sp. WMS2
Lineage: Bacteria; Pseudomonadati; Pseudomonadota; Gammaproteobacteria; Thiotrichales; Thiotrichaceae
Source: Rfam
UCUGGCGAUCAUAGAGCAUUGGAACCACCUGAUCCCAUUCCGAACUCAGAAGUGAAACGGUGUCUCGCCGAUGAUAGUGUGGGAGAUCCUAUGCGAAAGUAGGUUAUUGCCAGAG